This 187-nucleotide ribosomal RNA is filed under the name uncultured rumen bacterium. RNAcentral's name for it is "partial 16S ribosomal RNA". It matches the Rfam family "Bacterial small subunit ribosomal RNA", at positions 340 to 524 of the family's 1533-position model. The record is from RNAcentral.
UACGGGAGGCAGCAGUGAGGAAUAUUGGUCAAUGGACGGAAGUCUGAACCAGCCAAGUAGCGUGCAGGAUGACGGCCCUAUGGGUUGUAAACUGCUUUUAUAUAGGGAUAAAGUCGGGGACGUGUCCCCGUUUGUAGGUACUAUAUGAAUAAGGACCGGCUAAUUCCGUGCCAGCAGCCGCGGUAAU